UGGGGAAUAUUGCGCAAUGGGGGGAACCCUGACGCAGCCAUGCCGCGUGAAUGAAGAAGGCCUUCGGGUUGUAAAGUUCUUUCGGUAUUGAGGAAGGUUGAUGUGUUAAUAGCACAUCAAAUUGACGUUAAAUACAGAAGAAGCACCGGCUAACUCCGUGCCAGCAGCCGCGGUAAUACGGAAGGUGCGAGCGUUAAUCGGAAUAACUGGGCGUAAAGGGCACGCAGGCGGUUAUUUAAGUGAGGUGUGAAAGCCCUGGGCUUAACCUAGGAAUUGCAUUUCAGACUGGGUAACUAGAGUACUUUAGGGAGGGGUAGAAUUCCACGUGUAGCGGUGAAAUGCGUAGAGAUGUGGAGGAAUACCGAAGGCGAAGGCAGCCCCUUGGGAAUGUACUGACGCUCAUGUGCGAAAGCGUGGGGAGCAAACAGGAUUAGAUACCCUGGUAGUCCACGCUGUAAACGCUGUCGAUUUGGGGGUUGGGGUUUAACUCUGGCGCCCGUAGCUAACGUGAUAAAUCGACCGCCUGGGGAGUACGGCCGCAAGGUUA
This 547-nucleotide ribosomal RNA is filed under the name uncultured bacterium. RNAcentral's name for it is "bacterial SSU rRNA". It matches the Rfam family "Bacterial small subunit ribosomal RNA", at positions 355 to 896 of the family's 1533-position model. The record is from RNAcentral.